RNAcentral lists this long non-coding RNA (529 nucleotides) under Phaseolus vulgaris (common bean). Its description in RNAcentral is "long non-coding RNA (PVUL_LNC001375)". Lineage: Eukaryota; Viridiplantae; Streptophyta; Magnoliopsida; Fabales; Fabaceae. The record is from RNAcentral.
CUAGUGAAAGCCCAAUGGGGUGAAUCCUUUGGAUUAACACUGCUUUUGAGUGGAGGAUGUUGAGAAGAGAAUAAUGAGGAAGAGCAUAAUAUGAUGAGUUUGCACUGUUGAGUUGUUUUCAGUGUAGGCUGGAGAUUAAAAGAGUGGAUGUCAGGGCAUGCAGUAGUGUUUGUUGGAGCAGGGAAUGGUGAAGAGUUUUGUGUUGUGUUGUGUGAGAAUGUCUUUUCUACCUUUCUUUCCUUUCCUCUUCAGCAUGUGCAUGUCACAUUCUUGUCUUCACCCUUGACAAUGAGUGAGGUUGGGGCCCUCACAUUAUGGAACCAGGACUAGGGUCCCACACUGGACCUCAUCAUAGCCGUCAGUUUUGUCUGAUGUGUAUGCAAGGUAAGUAUCAAGAAAGAGAGAGGCUCUGUUGCACACCCACCUCUGGGACCCCUUUACUUCAUUUAUUUUCUAAAGCCUUUCUACUUUCUACCAUUCUUUGUCCCCACCAACUACUUCCCAGUGAACUGUCUCAUCUCAAAUUUCC